Molecule: ribosomal RNA, 253 nt
Filed under: uncultured bacterium
Lineage: Bacteria
Description: partial 16S ribosomal RNA
Rfam family: Bacterial small subunit ribosomal RNA
Source: RNAcentral
AACGUAGGAGGCGAGCGUUAUCCGGAUUUACUGGGUGUAAAGCGCGUGCAGGCGGUCGGCUAAGUUCGGUGUGAAAGCGCCUGGCUCAACCGGGCGAGGACGCCGAAGACUGGCGGACUGGAGGCAGGGAGAGGUCUGUGGAAUUCCGGGUGUAGUGGUGAAAUGCGUAGAGAUCCGGAGGAACACCAGUGGCGAAGGCGGCAGACAGGCCCUGACCUGACGCUCAUACGCGAAAGCACGGGGAGCGAACGGG